AACGCACCUUGCGCCUUUUGGUAUUCCGAAAGGCAUGCCUGUUUGAGUGUCAUGAAACAUCAAUCCCCCUCGGGUUUUCGGACCGGAGGUGGACUUGGACUUGGGCGUCUUUGCCAGGCUCUGGCUCGCCUUAAAAGCGUUAGUAGGUAUGAAGACCUUUCUGGCCGGACGUAAUAAGUUUCGUCUGUGCUGUCUGGGCUUGCAACCCGCUCACAACCCACCAUACUCUUUUACUUCUGACCUCAAAUCAGGUAGGGCUACCCGCUGAACUUAA
Molecule: unclassified non-coding RNA, 274 nt
Filed under: uncultured fungus
Lineage: Eukaryota; Fungi
Description: partial contains 5.8S ribosomal RNA, internal transcribed spacer 2, and large subunit ribosomal RNA
Rfam family: 5.8S ribosomal RNA (bases 1-52)
Source: RNAcentral